GUGCUGGAGAAUCUGGUAAAAGCACCAUUGUGAAGCAGAUGAGGAUCCUGCAUGUUAAUGGGUUUAAUGGAGAGGGCGGCGAAGAGGACCCGCAGGCUGCAAGGAGCAACAGCGAUGGUGAGAAGGCAACCAAAGUGCAGGACAUCAAAAACAACCUGAAAGAGGCGAUUGAAACCAUUGUGGCCGCCAUGAGCAACCUGGUGCCCCCCGUGGAGCUGGCCAACCCCGAGAACCAGUUCAGAGUGGACUACAUUCUGAGUGUGAUGAACGUGCCUGACUUUGACUUCCCUCCCGAAUUCUAUGAGCAUGCCAAGGCUCUGUGGGAGGAUGAAGGAGUGCGUGCCUGCUAUGAACGCUCCAACGAGUACCAGCUGAUUGACUGUGCCCAGUACUUCCUGGACAAGAUCGACGUGAUCAAGCAGGCUGACUACGUGCCGAGCGAUCAGGACCUGCUUCGCUGCCGUGUCCUGACUUCUGGAAUCUUUGAGACCAAGUUCCAGGUGGACAAAGUCAACUUCCA
Molecule: small RNA, 520 nt
Filed under: Pan troglodytes (chimpanzee)
Lineage: Eukaryota; Metazoa; Chordata; Mammalia; Primates; Hominidae
Description: processed transcript
Source: RNAcentral